Beta vulgaris subsp. vulgaris (sugar beet) is the source of this 571-nucleotide long non-coding RNA. RefSeq lists it as uncharacterized. Lineage: Eukaryota; Viridiplantae; Streptophyta; Magnoliopsida; Caryophyllales; Amaranthaceae. The transcript has 2 exons. The record is from RefSeq and is a predicted model, not a curated record.
UUAAAGGAUUGGAUAAACUAUUAUAACUUCAAUAUAUUACGUAAUCGUUUAAUAAGUUAGACUUUAUAACUUAUAUAAACAAUACUAUAAACUAAGAAUCAUACUUAAGGAGCACUUAUAUUAAUAUUUUCUAUUAAUUUCUAACUUACAAAAUACUCGUUUUGAAACUUAAAAGAACUCGUUCCUCGGAGCUCAGUAAGGACGAUAUCAAGGACGUAAGAAGAGGAUUAUUAUUAUUAUUAUUCUGCAAUCAAGGUACUGCUGGGGACGAUGGUACUGCGUAGUGGCAAGGAUUACCACCUUAUUAAAUCAUCUAGUAAUAGUGCUACUAACUUGUAAGGUUAACUUAACUAGAAUGAAAGACCAUAUACUUUAAUAUAAAUUAUCAUUGUCAUGUCAUGUAACGUUAACGUUGUUUACUUUAUUAUAUCAUAAGAUGUUUAAGUUAUCACUAUUAUCUCAUAAUGUUUAAAUAUGUUAUAUGAUUGUAGCCUUGCACCUUCCUAACCGAAGGUGCGGCAGUAAUGCCUCGACUAAAUAGGUAUUCCGCUGCUAAUUAGAUUAUCUUAAA